AAUGGGCGAAAGCCUGACGCAGCAACGCCGCGUGCGGGAUGAAGGCCUUCGGGUUGUAAACUGCUUUCAGCAGGGAAGAAGCGAAAGUGACGGUACCUGCAGAAGAAGCACCGGCUAACUACGUGCCAGCAGCCGCGGUAAUACGUAGGGUGCAAGCGUUGUCCGGAUUUAUUGGGCGUAAAGAGCUCGUAGGCGGUUAGUCGCGUCGGAUGUGAAAUCCCAGUGCCUAACACUGGGCCUGCAUUCGAUACGGGCUGACUAGAGUGUUGUAGGGGAGACUGGAACUCCUGGUGUAGCGGUGAAAUGCGCAGAUAUCAGGAAGAACACCGGUGGCGAAGGCGGGUCUCUGGGCAACUACUGACGCUGAGGAGCGAAAGCGUGGGGAGCAAACAGGAUU
RNAcentral lists this ribosomal RNA (397 nucleotides) under uncultured Actinomycetes bacterium. Its description in RNAcentral is "bacterial SSU rRNA". It matches the Rfam family "Bacterial small subunit ribosomal RNA", at positions 370 to 779 of the family's 1533-position model. Lineage: Bacteria; Bacillati; Actinomycetota; Actinomycetes. The record is from RNAcentral.